Molecule: long non-coding RNA, 1017 nt
Organism: Daphnia pulex (common water flea)
Lineage: Eukaryota; Metazoa; Arthropoda; Branchiopoda; Diplostraca; Daphniidae
Exons: 4
Source: RefSeq, a predicted model, not a curated record
GUUCAUGAGUUUCCGCUAGAUGCCAAUGAACGUUCUUAAAGAGCUUUUCAUUUUCAUUUUUUGGGGAAGGUGGUAACCCGAGGCCAUCACCCACUCCCCAGCUCACCUGAGGGUCUAGGAGCGCGAAAAUUGACUGUUGUCUACAGUGUGGAUCGUGUUCAGUUGCGAACGGUUAUCCGUUAUCGUGGAUAGAAACUCGAGUCUCGCGUGAUGAGUUAGUUGUUGUUAAGCGAUUGAUUGAAUGAACAAGAUUUUUUACUCAGAUUCCAGUGAUGAUGAUUACAUUCCUACAGUUUACAUUUUCCAGGUGACUGAGAGUGAUGUUGAAGAAUUAUCCAAUGAAGCUGAACAAAUUUCAAGCAAUGAAAGUGAUGACUGUAGAAUAAAGCUCUUCCAAAAAGAGAAAACGUCCCUUAUAAAAGAAUAAAUUAAACAAAACAACAGUUUCUGAAGAACCAGACGAAGGAGAUAAAUUAAAAAAUACCAAUAAUGAUGAAGAUAAAAAACAAAGGAUUGACCGUAUGUGGGCUAGUUUCAAGGAGGGAACUGACACAAAAGAAGCAAAAGAGACUGUUGCACCUAUUGUAACCAAACCUACAAAAUCUAUAGCCUAUAAAUUUGCUGGAGAAGAAAUUGAAAUCCCAGAAGAAGUUAAGAAAACUGGACCUUUAAAUUCCCAAGAAAUGAAAGGAAAAAACCUUCCAACUUAAAAAAAAAUCCGGUGGCCUUUCUAGCAUUACCAGUCAAUUAUCAAGUAAAAAAGCAAAGCUCAGUACAUUGGAAAAAUCAAAGCUGGAUUGGGAUCGAUUUAAAACAGAAGAAGGGAUUGCGGAAGAUCUGAAAUCUUUUCAUCAUAGGCAACAAAUUUUUGAUUUUGGGAAGGCAAUAAGCUUUUCUAGAACGGGCUGACGUAAAACAAUUUGAGAUUGAAACAAAUUUUCGUGCUGGGCGGAAACUUCGUUAACCGUAACAUGCAAAUCGUCUCACUGAAAAUGAAAUACAACAAAUAAAAAAGAA